GCGGCGCUGCACGCUGUGUGCCUUCAGAGCCGGCUGGAAGCGGCCGCCGCGGCUGGCACCCGCCGCUCCGCACUCCUCCACCCUCCGAGGCCUCCCCUGCCCCGCGGGCGCCCACCCUAAGCUCCCUGGGCCCUGCAGACCUGCAAACCCGAGGCGGAGAGCGGAUUUGCCUUUGGCUUUUCCCGCCGGACUUGGCAGAGAGGUUCCGGCGGGAAUCUGGGCUGGCGCUGGCGAUGCGCAGCCAAGGAAGGCGAGGCGCUGCGUCCAUGCGGGGUGCUCUCCCGGAGCGAGGAGGCGGGAUGCCCUCGCCGGGUCCGCGGGGCCCUCUGCACCCGCCUGGACCGUGCGCCCACCCCCGGACCCGGGAACGCGGCCCUUGGGAGCCGCAGCCAGUGAACUCCGCGCCUUCUCCGCGGGUCCCGAGCGCAGAGGCCGGCCACCAGCUCCUUGACCUUGGAUGGAAAGGGGGCCAUGCGGUGGGGUGCUCCGGACGCCCCGUGUGGAUUACUUGGUGUGGAUCAGCCGGGCUCAGAAGACUCGCGACCCCGUCUCCGUCCACGGAUUGAUUCAUUCUGCCUGGCGGUGGGGCCGCUUACCUGGAGGUGCACUCAGAGGUUGGUGGCCAACCUGGGCAGGUGCUCCGAACCAAGGAAGGACGGGGAAGAAGGUGACCCGGUGCACGCCAGGCCUAGGAAGCAGGACUGGGCAAAGGGCCGCCUUCCUCACCCUCACCACCCACCAGGAAUGUGUGCCACCGGGCGCCCCCUGAAGGUCCUGGCUCCGAUGCAACCAUCUCUUAAGAGGCAAGAACUCUGCAUUGGAUGGAGAAAUCUCAUUUUGGAGACUAUAUAAAGAAGGUUCGGGAUUUGAGAAGACACUUGAGGAGAAAGCCAAGACCCUCGCUCUGAGAAAUAGUGGGUGCGAUGACCUGCAUGCGCUGGGGGACGCGUCGUGGUUGGGGCCAACCUACGGAGAAGACACCGGUGUCCCAGACCUUGCUUCUCCUUCUUACGGAAAACCCUUCCUCUGCAGCCGCCGGCUCCGAAGGCUGCCCUCCCCCCACCCCCAGGAACCCCAGGGCUUCCUGCCACCCCCUUUUUGCCCCCCACCUCCACGCCUGCUGUGCAGCGAUUCUUGUUUGCUCCGUCGUCUUCUAGCGGAUACAGAGUGAAUCGUUAACUACACUUAGGUCAAAAGGAUCUGCGUUUUUUGUUCCUGCUCCUGCUCAAGACACGUGUGUGCCGCUGUGCGCACAGCCUUGGAGGAGUCUUCCUUCUCGUCUCCUCGGGUCUGGCCGCGUGGGUUCCAGAGGGAUGCUGAUCUGUGCAGGGACGUUCCUCGGGGGCUCGGGGACGCUGGCAGGGACUCCGGCGGGGGAGCUGGAUCUGGAUCGUGAAGGCUGGCGUUCUCCAUGCCCAACCGUCUUGGCCGGGAUCACACACACGGGUGGACAUCUGGAGGAGCAGAAAAUGACUCUGUUGUUUAUUCCAGCCGCCUUCUGUUGAGCCAGAGGCACAGUCAGCUGCACGACCCUCUCCUCUCAGGUGGCCGUUGGGGUCCACACCAGAACUUGGGGCUUCUUUAUGGACCAUCCAGCUACCAGCGCUGGUGGAAUUUGUGGCGGACCCUCUUCCUCCCGGGGCGUGCCGAUGGCACACACACCCGGCAAUGGAUUGGGCCCCACGCGACGCGAGUCCUGUUCGUUUCGUUCACUCUGUAGCCUCCAUACGCGUGGACGGAAAUACUUCCUAGAUGUCUACCCAUGUCAGCCUUGGCCAGAAUGCACGGCCAAGCAGGUGUGUCCUCUCAGUGUCCACAGUGAAUGGAUGGCUUGCCUUUGCAAAAAAGGAUUAAAGCUAGACCUGUCUA
Molecule: long non-coding RNA, 1869 nt
Organism: Eptesicus fuscus (big brown bat)
Lineage: Eukaryota; Metazoa; Chordata; Mammalia; Chiroptera; Vespertilionidae
Exons: 3
Source: RefSeq, a predicted model, not a curated record